AAGUCGUGACAAGGUUUCCGUAGGUGAACCUGCGGAAGGAUCAUUACUGAGUUAGGGUUCUUUUGAGCCCGAACCUCCAACCCUUUGUAUAAAACACUUUGUUGCUUUGGCAGGCCCGUCUGAAAUUCCUUCGGGAUUUGACGACCGCCGGGGGGCGUUUAGUCACCUCUGGUCAGUGCUUGCCGAUAGCCUAUUCAAAAUUCUUUAUUAAAUAAUGUCUGAAAAAUUAUAAUUAAAUAUAAUUAAAA
This 248-nucleotide unclassified non-coding RNA is filed under the name plant metagenome. RNAcentral's name for it is "partial contains small subunit ribosomal RNA and internal transcribed spacer 1". The stretch from base 1 to 46 matches the Rfam family "Eukaryotic small subunit ribosomal RNA", at positions 1786 to 1831 of the family's 1831-position model. The record is from RNAcentral.